UACGGCGGUGAGAAUGUAUGUAUCUGAGCUGGAAUGCACACCUUUCUGCAUGCAAAAGAUAUUGCCAAUUGAAUUAGCAGUACUGUUCUUAGCUAGGUUAUAAAAAUUAAAGCAGAUGUGCUACUGCUACUAAUAUCAUUGAUCAUACAAUUAGUGUUCAGCAUAUUAUAUUAUAAGUUAAUUUAGGUUUGUCCUGAAUUAAAUAUCUUUAAGUUUAAUCAAGUUUAUAAAAAUAUAGCAACAUUUCUAGGAUAAAAUAAAUAGACUAUAAAAAUAUAUUUAAAUGUGGAUUUAAUGAAACUAAUUUGGUGUUUUGGAUGACGGUAUAAACUUAAUCAAAUUUAAAGAGAUCGAAUUAAAACAAACUCAAAAUGACUUAUAAUAUGCAAGAAGUAUUAAUUAAUCCCUCUGCUAAAAAAUGAAGUUAUUUCUACGGCCAACCAUUUGCUCCAAAAUGUAUUUAUUUCUCCACCUAACUUAUCAUCUCAACCAAUCCCAAACAUUCUUUAUUUAUUUAUUUCUUUCUACAUUAUCUUCUCAACCAAUCACAAACUUUCUUCAAUUAUUCUCGCGUACUAAAUACUCAUGCUCACCUUAAAAGUAUUUAUAUUUUAGAACAGAAUCAGUUCAAAUGAGAAAAGAGAGAGGCGAUUGAAGUUGUUAGCUCAAAGCAUACUUCAUCAGAUAUUCAGAUAUGAAAAUUGGCAAGUGCAGUUACCAGGAGGCUACUUGGAGUGGAGCUGACAGCUUCAGAGAUGUUGGGAGGAGGGGACUCUUGUCGCGUGGGUACUUGGGCACGCCACGCAUGCCUUUCGAAGGCGAUGCUGGAAUCUGGAUGCAAGAGGUUGCACAUUGGUUCCUACCUCCUAGAUUUUUCAUUGGGUGUCUGCACUGCACCUACAGUCCAACAAGCAAUUCAGUCAUUUAUUUUCCCCCAUCUAGCUACUCCUUUUGUUUUCUUGGUUGCUUUUGAUGUGUUCAAGAAUCAAGAACAUAGCUUAUUGGUAAAAGAGAAAAAAAAGAAAGUGUA
Molecule: long non-coding RNA, 1030 nt
Filed under: Oryza brachyantha (malo sina)
Lineage: Eukaryota; Viridiplantae; Streptophyta; Magnoliopsida; Poales; Poaceae
Description: long non-coding RNA (OBRA_LNC000691)
Source: RNAcentral